RNAcentral lists this long non-coding RNA (10523 nucleotides) under Coffea arabica (coffee). RNAcentral's name for it is "long non-coding RNA (CARA_LNC000503)". The record is from RNAcentral. Lineage: Eukaryota; Viridiplantae; Streptophyta; Magnoliopsida; Gentianales; Rubiaceae.
UGGGACUUUGGAAAGCGACGAUUUGGCCAAAUGAAAUUUUAAAAAGGGUUUUUAAAUAUGAAAAACGGAGUCGCCACUUGGUAUAGAUUUGGGGUGUACCAAGUCACCCAAAAAAGUGUUUUUUAAAGACAAAGUAGUAAAACCCUUUUUAAAACGACUCCUAGUCCACGUAAGCCAAAGAAAAAGGUUCGGGGGUCACGUUUGACAAAGGGGAAGGCAAGGAUAAAAAUCCAAGGCACCCCUUCGACCUAACCAAGGCUAGUUGCGUGACUUAAACCAAUUUUUCCUAAUUUUUCUACCCAUGGUAUGUAUCGCAUAUUGGAUAUGUCUAUAUGAAUGCAAAACCCUAGACCUAGGGGGAUUGGGGGAAAUUUCUCUUCAAAGGUUGAGUGGUGCCAAUCACAUUAAUUGUGAAGCCCAAUAAUGAUCCUUUUGGAGAGGUCACACCUAAACCUAAAUGACGUGAAAAAUGAGUGGAAUGCAUGCCAUGUGAAAGUGUGAGUUUGUGUGAAAUGAGAAAAAUGAUAAAAGUAAUAAGAUAUAAGUGAAGGUGUGCGAAUGUAGAUGAAAGUACUCGUGUGCGAGUGAAGAUAAAAAUGCUCGUGUGCAAGUGAAGAUAAAAAAGUGUUCGUGUGCAAGUGGAGAUAAAAGAGUAUUCGUGUGCAGGUGAAAGUGAUAAAAAGGUGCAUGUGUGCAAAUGAGACAAAAGUGAAAGUGUGAUGAUAGAGUGGAUUGAGAAUGCAUGAGCCUAGGGAAUGCAAGCAAGAUGGGUACGGGGAGACCUAAAUCGUGACUCAAUUUGCCCUUUGAUAGAGGGAAUACAAGCGUGCUAAGGCUUAGAAAAAGGCACACUCGUCUAUAUCCCAUAUUUAAGGGGACUCUUCAGGCAAAUGUACCCUAACUAGCAUGAGAUGCAAAAAUCCUAAAAUGAGGGAAAAGGGGCUCGAGGAGCAUGCCAAAUGAUAAAGCUAAGAAAAAUGCGUGAUAUGUGGUGAACAAGCAAAUGAUGUGCUAACGAGGGGAAAUACCUAAUGAGCCACAACUAGCAUUGGACUAGUGUGGUGACGUACAUUCAUCCAUCACAUUCAUUCAUGCUAUAGAAAGCGAGUAGACAUGCCAAACACGUAUAAACACAUAGCACAUAACAUUUAGCAUGCUCGACUAGAUGCGAGGCCCUAUCAAAGCAAUUAAACAUGUAGCAACAAAAACAAGCAAACAAGGGGAAGGGGAAAAUGAACCAGAUGCUCUCCGAGCCCUAUCUAUUACAAGCCAAGAGGUGUACACAUACCCCAUAAAAGCAUAAAGGGGAAGGGGAAAUGGACAAGAUGCUCUCCGAGCCCUAUCUAUUACAAGCCAAGAGGUGUACACAUACCCCAUGAAAAUUUAAAUAAAAGUAAAAGCAAGUAAAUGCAUGCAAGGAGGUAAGGAAAGCGGAGUAGACAGGCAUAUUCACAUAACACAUAAGAUCACAUAGGAGAGACAAAAAGGGAUAAAAUAAAUUGUACCUCCCCCCGUGUGUAAUGCUAGUAAGGUGAACAAGACUCAACUUGGGCUAUAGUUGCUAAAGAAGGAACUAAUUUGGGCUAAAACCAUUAAACAGAGGAUUAAUGCACCAAUUUAAUAGUAAAUCAAACAACACAAAUUCUUCGAAAACAAAACUUAAGGAACCACUAGUGGCUAUAAAAUUUAACCAUUAAGUUCUUCAAAUAAUCAAACAAAUCCAUACUCAUCAAAUGGACUUCCAAUUUGAACAUUAAAGAAAAUUUGAAGGACCAAAUUGAUUAAUCUUUCCAAUUUCCUAGGCCAUAGUACAACAAAAGAACUUGAGGGGGUUAAAAGGCAAUUUUUUGAAAAGACUUCCAUGCAUGCAUACGAGACAAUUCAGCUUCUGCAACAACAAGAAGAUUUCGACAGCUAAGCUAGCUCAUCCGCAGCUUCAUCCAUGAAACUUUGGCUAACCAAACAUUAAACUAAUUCUAAUUAAAGCAUACUUAAACAUCACCUAAUCAAAGUAGCUCUUAAAAGAAUUUCUUGCAAACUUAUGUAACAAAGAACUCCUGCCAAAAAUAAAAAAACUGCUGCACUUCUGUUUGCAAACCAACUCAAAGAUUACUGCAUUUUUAUCUUCGACCAGAUUUAGGCAGAGAACUAACGCAGCUUUUGGACACAUUCUAUCAAACAAUACUCAAACUUUGAGUCAAGCAACACAACACACAACUUGGCAUUCAAACAAGUAAAAAACAAAACACUUGGAAAAAAAUGCAGGCAUACGAAGCUUUUCUUAUUUCUGCUAGUUUCUUUAUUUAUAACAGGUUUGGGCUUUCAAACAUGCAGUUUCAAUCCCUCCUAACACAACUAACAUCUCCGCUAACCAAACGUUCAGAUUAAACAGCAAGACAGACAAACUUUCUUUUUAUUUCUGAACAUAAAAACUAGAGAGCAAGAGCAUUCAAAUCUAGCCAACCGAACUUCUGAAAAGGGAAAAAACGUAAAAGCAGGAUAACACAAAGAAUCGCUUCAACAUUCUGCAAAACUCAAUACUUCCCUCCUUACCCAAAGCUGGACCCAAAAUAAGUAGAAGCAAAGAGCCUAGAUACACACAGAACUGGUAUUGCCUAUGAACACCAAGUUCUGCAAACCCAUCCUUCGACUGAAUAAAAUUUCAAACAGAUCAAAAGGACGACAGCUACAAACAACGGACAUAACAUACCGCAAGCAUCGUGCAGACUUGCUGCAAUUUCAACCGACCACAUGCGAGUCUAUUAGCUAACCCCCACAAGAAUCUCGACCCAACAAAAGCACCACAUAUCACUACAAAGAUCAGAGAUUCAACAAUCCUUCUCCUUCUCACCAGAUACCCAAGGCAAAACAGAUAACUUUUGUCAAGUUUUCAUUUUUCGGUAGUAACUCUACCAAACAUGCAAUCCAGAAACCAAAUAAGAAACUAAUGAAAACCCAACAACAUCCGAGUCCCAAAACACAAACCACACAUCGACAAACAACCCAGCAAAUGACCCCAAUCUCUUUGUUUGCCAAGCUUGCAUCCUCGUAGGAAUCGUAUAAAACUAGCCAGAGGAAACGCUAGAGUUACCUGAAGAUGUUAGCGUGAUCGAAUGAGGGCGAUGUGCUUCUAACAAGUCGCAGGUACCGCUGAACGAGGCUCAGAAAUUCUGCUGAAACUUCAAAUCUGGGUUCCUCCUCCACGAAGCUUUCUUGGUUCUCUCUAUUUUGUUCAGCCGAACACCUCCAUUUGUUCUCCUUCGUCUCUCCGUGGCCCUUUUCUUGGUUGCGGCUGCUAUGCUCACUCUAGCUCUCCAGAAUUUCUUUCGGCCGUUCCUUCACUCCUCUCUCUUGCUCUCGGCUUCAGUCCCUACUAAACCUUUUCCUCGUUUUCCUUUUCUCUUUCAAGCUCACACAGAAACUCCACCCUCUCCCUCGUUCUCUCUUGCUUUUUCCGUUUCUUUCUUUUCCCGUAAGCCUUUAUCUCUCUCCCCCAAAACCUUCGCUCCGUUUUUCUGUUUUUCCGUCGAUGGUCUCCCCCCCCAAAAAACCUCCUUGUGCGGCUGUAGCUUUCUUUUCUCUUUUAUACCAGGAACACUCUACCCUAAACCCUCAGCCAUUCUCUAAAAUUUGCAGCUAAGGAGCUACCCAGCCCCCUAUUUGCAAGCUGCGUAAAAAACGCAGCUUGCAUGCCGUGACCCUUUUUUUUUUUUUUUUUUUUUUUAAAAAAAAAUAUUUAACAAAACCAAAAUGAUAAUAAUAAUAACAAUAAUAAUAACAAAACCCACUUAAUUAAUCAUUGGAUAAAAUAAACAAACUAGAAACAACAAAAAUGCAAUUUUUCAUUUACCAUUUUCAUCAUUUUUCCCUCUUUCUUUAAUUUUCUUUUCUCCUUUUUUUUUGUGAUUUUUCAUUUUCAUUUUUCUUCCAAGAAAGCUUUGAAUAAAAACAAAAUGACUAAAACAUAUUUUUGAUGUUUUCCUUUUCUUUUUUUCUAAAAAAAACUCUAUGCUAAUUUUAAACUUAAAAGCUAAAACUAAAAAUUAAAACUAAAAGUAAACAACGAAUGCGAGCAAUCUAAAAUGAAAAUCAUGAAAUAGAUGCCACAUAAAAUUAUUCAAAAUUUGGUGUCUACAGUUUGCCCCUCUUUGUCUGAGUUUUGAAAAAACUUGAGACAAAGAAGUAGACACCAAAUUCUUACCAGUGUUAUUUGGUUGCAAAAAUGAUCUGAACGGACAGGAAUUCUAAAAUGGGACUAACCCAAACAUUAAAAAAAUGGGGAUAGACCCACGGGAUAGACCCGGACAGAAAUGUAAAAUUGAGAUAGACCCACGGGAUAGACCCGGAUAGACCCACGGGAUAGACCCGGACAGAAAUUUAAAAUUGGGAUAGACCCACGGGAUAGACCCACGGGAUAGAUCCGGACAGAAAUUUAAAAUUGGGAUAGACCCACGGGAUAGACCCGGACAGAAAUGUAAAUUCUGGGAUUAGGACCCCACGGAUAGAACCGGUACGAAAUUUAAAAUUGAUAGACCCGGAAUAGACCCACGGUAGGACUCCGGACAAAAGUACAAAUUGGAUAGACCCACGGUAUGACCGGACAGGAAGAAUGUAAAAUUGCGGAUAUAGGACCCACGGGAUAUUAGACCCGGACUAAAAUUAAAUUGGGAUAGACCCACGGGAUAGACCCGGAUAGCAUUAAAAUUGGGAUAGACAAUUUAAAAUUGGGAUAGACCCACGGGAUAGACCCGGACUGCAAUGUAAAUUUGGGAUAGACCCACGGGAUAGACCCGGACAGAAAUUUUGGGAUAGACCCAUUGGGAUAGACCCACGGGAUAGACCCGGACAGAAAUUAAAAUUGGGAUAGACCCACGGGAUAGACCCGGACAGAAAUGUAAAAUUGGGAUAGACCCAGACAGAAAUUUAAAAUUGGGAUAGACCCACGGGAUAGACCCGGACAGAAAUAUAAAUUGGGAUAGACCCACGGGAUAGACCCGGACAGAUAUGUAAGUUGGAUUUGAUCUGUCAAGAUAUAAGAAAUUAAAUUUUGAUUUUCCAAGAAACAAAAAUUUGAACUUGAUUUUCGAUUUUUGACUUUUGAAUUUUUCUGAUUUUUCGAGAGAAUCUUUUCCAAAAAUAAUUUGCCCCAGUGUAGGGCCCUUUUCCCUUCUUUCUUCUCUUUCUUCGGCAUCGGCCUUCUACAUCGUCAGAUGCUUUUCGUCGACUUCAACUGUGAAUACCUGCACAGGGCUUACGUGCACUCAAAUGAGCGUGACUGAUUUGAAAAAUGCAUUAUUUUGAUUCUUGGACGAAAUCCUCAAUUGGACUACAAAAAUAUUUGCCCCUGUGUGGGCUUAUUUUGCAAAAUUUUGCAAAUAAAAAUUUUGCCCCAGUUUGGGCCCAUUUGAUUGCAAAAAUUGGUUUAGAUGAUUUCCCAUUUACUUGAACAAAGAAAAACCGCACUUUCUAAAAUUUAGAAAAGAGUGCACAUAUAACAAUGUGAAGAAACUUUAAUCGUCAAGUUUGAACUCAUGCAGAAAUUUCAUGAUGAAUUCCUCAAAAUAAUGCCAAAUUACAAGAUAUUUCUUCCUUACCUUAGCAUCGAAGCUUUGGGUAAUGGGCGUUAUUUCUGACUUGGAAAUGGGAGGCCAAGAUUUGUCUUAUUCAUGUGCUCAGAUGGUAUGUAACCCCUUCUAUACCACAUCUUGGUGAAAGCAAAGAGUUUAUCAUCCUUAUUUCUUAAGAAAACAUAGUCCACAUACGAGCUUUAUAGGCUUGCAAUAACACGGAUGGAAACGAUAGCUAAAACAUGAAAAAACUGGUUGUUCCCUUAUGAUCACAAAUGAUUGAUGGAUUUCUUACGAGCAUAGUCGUCACUUUGGAUUGUCAUGAAGGAAUAAGUCAACGAUGGACUUUAUGAGCUUGUAAUGUGGCUUGAAAACGAUAGCUAAAGAAUAAAACUUUCAAGAACAUUACACCACAGAUCGCAUUUUUCAACAUUGCCUUCAUCUGGACUCCAGAUUCUUGGACUUUGUUUGACUUUUUAUCAUCACCCAACAGGGUCUUUCAACAUCAAAUCUUUUUGCAUCUUUCUUUUGCAUUCAUUUCGCUCGUUUUUCUUUUCUUUUUCCCUCUUUUCAGAAAUACCUUCUCGGGGUUUCAUAUGAAGAGCAGUGUCAACCUCACGCCAAAUCAAUUCAGAAAUACAGCUAAAAUUUUCGACAUCAGAAAUUUUCUUAACAGGGCCAUUGCUAAGAACAGAAGUCAGGGCUUUCGGCUUUUGUAAUGGGGUCAGGUGGGGUGCUUAGAAAAGUUAAGGCUUGAAAACGGAUUUCAAAGUGGUUUGAAAAAUCCGAGAUCGCAUUGUUGCGCCAACCCUAUUUCAAGGUUAAAUCAAAAUCUGCCUCAGUUUUUGCUCAAUUGAGGCUUUUCACUUUCAUUUUUCUUUUUCCUUUUGACUUUUCGGCCUUUUUGCCAUUCUUUGAAAUUUCACAAAAUUUGCCCCAGUUUACUUUUGAACUGAGGUUCUCUUUUCUUCUUUUGCCUUUUGAUUUUGUGGGUUUUCACAUUUUCGCUUCUUGAAAUUUUCUUUUUCAACCCAACUUGCCCCAGUGUGGGGUUUGCGAUUCUCAGGGGGUGCCAAAUGAAGUAUUUUAUUCUGAAGGCUCAAAAGGGAUAACUAGGGAUAAAAUGUUCGAUUGGAAAAGAAGAUGGCCUGACUUGUAUUCCGUUCCUUACAAUAACUCUGAAAGGAAACUUUCAUUAAUGACGAAAUUUCUCGCAUGUAUUUGAAUUAAUUGACUGAGGAAGACGCCUGUGAAGCAUAGAUGAUCCACCAGAUGAAAUUCUUCCUUUUCUUUUCUCAACAUUGGAACCCAAGUGGAAUCAAAUUUCCAAUUUGCGGUUCUCUCCCUUUUAGCCUUAGCAUUUUGGCUUUUCUCUCUCUUUUGGAAAAUUCUCCAAUCUUCUUCCCCAGUGUGGGGGCGAUCAUAAGUGCUUUGAAAAGAACCAGUAAUUUUGGCUCAAAUGAGGAUGCAAGGGAUAAAGCAGUGUUUAAAUGGUAGAAACGAUGGCCAAAGCAUCAUUCUUACGUUUCAUGACAAACCAAAGUAAAGAAACACUCAUUGAGAAUCCAUUCCCCCUUUUGACAUUCGAAAAAUUUUCCCAUGUAGGGUUGUGAUCAUCAAGGCGCUUAUUUGAAACGAAGUUAUUCUUUUAAAGACUCAAACGGGAGAGCAAAUGAUAAAAUCUGUAUGGGUAGAGAAACGAAUGCUCAAAGUAUCAUUCCAAAAUUUCAAAACAAAUAAGAAUAAUGCACCCUUUCGCUUUCACUUAGAUGUGAUUUGAGUCUAAUUAGACACUAUGGACAUCUUUCCAAGUAAAGGUUGCCCCAAUGGGGUCAAUAGAAGUGGCAAAACACGAAUUGUUCAGCGAAGGAGAAAAGGUAUCUCAUUGGGCCUUUUGAAGGACCUCUCUUAUUUUUGAGCACUUUUAUUGUACAGCUCGGAUCACCAACCUGGUAUGCAUGAAAAUUGUAGAGAGUAUACACUUGUGAAUCCUCAGACUGAGGUUGGAAAAAAUCUCAAUUUGGUUUUAUUUCUCAAAAUUCAUCAUGAACUCUCCAAUGAGUAAGAAUAAAGAAUGAAAUGUACAUGAAUAUAAAAAACAAUAAUUGUCCAAAAAUUUUAUUGCUGAAAAAGUUUGAAACAAAAUUUCUCAUUCAAUUUACGAUACAAAUGAGAAGAGAGAAACUUGUAAAGAGCUCCACAUAUACACUUUUUGGAACAAAAUGUAUUAACAAAUCAAAUAUACAAAAUUUUCCUUUGGAAAACAAUUACAACAUCUCUUAGAGGCUUUAGCGUAGAGCUUCCGGAUAGAUCAUUUAUGUUUUCAUUAUAGGACCUGCCCAAGAAUCAAAUGAUACUUUCUGAACUUUAUCGGAUCAAAAAUUGUUAUCCAAUAUAGGGAAAUAUUUUCACCUUAUUGAAACAUUUUUAUGAAUGCAGGGGAGGGGGAAAAAAAGAAAAAUACCCCGAGUUAGUAGGCAAAACUGCAAAAUCGGUAUGCAUGUCCUAUGGGGGAGCCCUUUUGUGCCAAGGGUAGGCCUAGCAUGAAAAUGCAAUCCUCCAGAGCAGGCACUAUACCAUACCUGAUGGAUCUGAUCAACUCAUUGAGUGAAAAAAAUAAUUUGAAAAAUUUGGCCCAUUGGAAUGAGAAAAGACGUUGGUCAAAAUAAGGACCUCGUCCGAAGGGAUUGAUCACUUUUGAUCGAUACAAGAAUUUGCAAAAACGCACGGGUUUGACCUUGACGAACUUCCUAUCGAAGAGAUUGGAAUUCGUUUUGACAACUUUUCUCAGUGAAGCACAGGUCAAAACUCCAACUGAUCAAAUGGCUGGAUGCAACGGAUGUUUUUCUCAAAAUCGACUAGGUUUUUCAUUUUUGAAAUUCGACAUUGAAACCCUAAUUGGUCAAAUGAAAUUGACAAUUUAUUAAAAAUCGACCGGAUUACCCUAAAAAGGGAAACAGGUCAAAUGAAUGGAAUGAAAUUUAAUUUAUCCAAAAUUAAUCAGAUCACCCUAAAAAGGGUAAAUUGAUCAACUAGACUGAACGAAACUUGAUUUAUUCAAAAUCGGCUCGGUUGCCCUAAAAAUGGGUAAAUUGGCCAAAUGAAUGAAAUUGAACUAGUGAUUUAUUCAAAAAUCGGCCGAAUGACCCUAAAAAGGGUAAAUUGGUCAAAAGACCCUAAAAAGGGUAGAAUGGUCAAAUGAAUUGAUGAUUUAUUCAAAAAUCGACCAAGUGACCCUAAAAAGAGUAAGUUGAUCAAAUGAAUUGAUGAUUUAUUCAAAAAUCGACCAGGUGACCCUAAAAAGGGUAAAUUGGUCAAAUGAAAUGAUGAUUUAUUGAAUGAAUUGGCAAAAUGGAUUGGUUGAAUUGUCUGGCCAAUGAUUAUUUCAAAAUUAUUGAGGUGCAUUAGCCUAUGAGCUUCUAAAAAUCAUAUUUUGGCCUCAAUUUAUUUAUCGUCCCAAUAGGAGGAAUCACUUGUGAAUUUCUUCAAAUUAAUGUCCUUCACGCAAGGGAUUUUUACCAAUUUUUGAUAAAAUGGCCAAAAAGUGAUUAUUAGAUGCUCAUAUUCCAAAAAUCACUCUAUUGAAAAUGAUCGGAUCCUACCUUACCUUGUGCACUACCCCUUCGGAUGGUACGAGAAAGGUAAACGUGCAAGUCUCAUUUGGAUUAUAUAUCCGAGACAUGGGGUGGUUUAUUCCUAACACGGGAUCCCCUAAAUGGCAUUCCCUUUCUAUGGUUUAUGCAUGAUGCCAUUUAUUAAAGCGAUGUAAAUAUGUGACAAAUAUGGCCUAAAGGACAUAAAUAAUGCAUCGGGGGAAAGGUCUAAAAAUGAAAUGUAUUUAUUGAAAAUCAAGUGCAAUAACUGAAAUUUAAACAGGUGAGCUAUCUAGUGGGUAAGUCACUAAAAGAGUGCCGAAGAGGCCUCUUAUUGCUAAGGCAUAUGAAUGCAAGACAAGAAAACAAUGAAAUGGUUAGCACAAUUGAUAGUACACAUAACACAUUGGGAGCAAAUAAGAAAGGCAAUACAAUAAAACAAGUAAAAAGGGGUGGAACCCCUUCCCUCGUGCCUAAUGUGCUUAAAAGGGUGAGGUUGACUCUAACCUAGGCAAAUUCUAACAUGGAUGCAUGAGGCUGGGGCUCACUAAUGCAACUAGACUCGAUAAGUCUCGGCUCCCAAGCCUUCAGACCUAAAGGCGAAGGGUCAUCACUCCCAGGGCCCUCGGUCGGUGGCUCGAGUGAUCCCUUAGGUAGCGCUAUGGGCGCAGAGCACACCAGCCGCCUACCCAAGGCAAUCGAUCUUAAUCCUACAAGGCGGUGUGGGAAACGCCCACGAAAAACAAAAUAAAAUGGGAUAAAAGCAAGUAAACGUGCACGUAUGAAGUGUUCCCUAUUUUGAGGGAAAGGGGUGAGAACCACGCGAGGCUCUAAAGGUGACACACACCCCCCCCCAAAUGCAAUGCAAGCGCGAGAUACAUACAUCCAAUCAACCAAUCAUACACACGUGAGUGAGGGAAUAGUUUGAUACGUGCGCGAGGCGAAAAAGUCCUAAAAUAGAAAAUGCAACCCUAAUAUCCAAAUGCAAUGCAUAAAAAGGGUAGAAAAAGGAAACGAAUGGCUAAGUCAAAUGCUUGGACUCACUUAGGAAUUCCCCAGUGGAGUCGCCAACUGUCGCGCCCCACUUUUUGACGAGUUGAAUGUGUGAUGGUGAUGUGUGGUGUGUGGUGUGAACGUGUGCAAAAUGAAAAGUAAAAAGGCCAUGGGACUUUGGAAAGCGACGAUUUGGCCAAAUGAAAUUUUAAAAAGGGUUUUUAAAUAUGAAAAACGGAGUCGCCACUUGGUAUAGAUUUGGGGUGUACCAAGUCACCCAAAAAAAGUGUUUUUUAAAGACAAAGUAGUAAAACCCUUUUUAAAACGACUCCUAGUCCACGUAAGCCAAAGAAAAAGGUUCGGGGGUCAC